UUAAUAAAAAAAGUCUUAUAAGAUUUUUAAAGACCGUGUGAGAUUGUAUUGAUUCUGUGAGAUUUUAAAAGACUUUUUAUGUAAAAGACUUUAUACACUCAAGAUUUUAAAGGAUUUAUCACACUGACUUUUAAAAAUUUCAAAGGAUUUUAUGUUAUUUUAAAAUUUCAAAGAAUUAAAUGAAUUUUAGGGGAAAAAGAACAUACUUACAAGCGUGAAUGAUAGAAAUAAUGAACAAAUAAAUUCUAGCGUCUGAAUAAAGAAAAAUAAAACCAAUAAAAAAAUAUUUUACUAUUGAUUUUCAAAUUUUAAGAAUUUUAUGGAUUUUAUAAGAUUUUAAGGGACUAAAAAACACUCUAACACAUUAUUCUCAAUACACAUUUUUUAUUUGUUAAAAAUGUUAUUCCCACAAAAUUCAAUUGUACAUAUUUAAAAUCAACACUUACAAAUCUUUCAAAAAAAAUAUAUUGUGUCAGCCAUUACAAAUCGGUUGAGUUUACCCGAGUUUACCAAGUGUUAACUCAGUCAAACUCGUUAAACCUUUCGAUUUUACCAGAAACCGAGUUUACCUCAGAGUUAACACUCGAUUUACAAAACAUUGAUUACGUCAUACUCUCUAUCAUAAUAUUCUCAAUACAAUUUUUUAUUUUUUUAUGAGAUAGAGAGAGGGAGAGAGGGCGGAUGAGAGAUGAGAGAGAGAGAAUGGAGAGAUAGAGAAACGAAGAGAGAAAGGAGAGAAUACGGAGGGGGAGGGAGAGAGAGAGAGAGAGAGAGAGAGAGAGAGAGAGAGAGAGAGAGAGAGAAAUGAGAAGAAAGAGAUAGUAACUUUUAAAAGAAAAACAAUCUCAAGAAAUCUCAUCUUUUCAUGAAAGACUUUUUCUUAUUAAAAUCCCACUACAAAAUCCAUCAAAAUCCAAUUUAUUAAACAAUCUUUUGAAAUUUGAAUGAUUUUGAAUACCACAAGACUUUUUUUAAGUGAUGAAAAGUCUUGAUUGAAUACCUCAAUACUUUUUUAAAAUGACAAAGAGUCUUGAUUGAAUACCACAAGACUUUUUCAUAAUUAAAAAGUCUUUUAAAAUCUCAUAGAAUCCUAAUCCAAUACAUCCCCCUUAACCUCAAUGCACACGUAUAAUACUUCUCAGUGCACUAUUAGAUAGAAAAGGAAAACUUACAUGCUUUUGUUUAAUAAUUUCUAUUGCUGCAUAUAUUUUUGUGUCUAAUCCAUGGUUGCAGCUGUCAACACAAGAACAAUGAAACACAUCAAAAGUAUCCGAUAAUUUAUACUUUCUAAAUGAGUUCUAAUAAAACUAAAGAUUUCAAUACAUGCUUCAAGGUAAUUAUUUUAAUUGAGUAAUCAAGCAAAAGCAUCCAAAAGGUCUUUGAUUAUUUAUUACCAAUGAAGCACGGACACUCCUUGGAUUAGGUGUGUCCUAGUGUCAGACGCGUGUCGUGUCCGACACCGACACCGACCCUUGUAAUUGCACUGAAUUAUGUGAUUUUCUCAAAUUAUUAGUUGUGUCGGCGUGUCAGUGUCCGUGUCAUCUCCGGUGUCCGUAUCCGUGCUUCAUAGUUUAUUACUCAGAAAAAAGAAGAAAAAAACAUCACAUAUGCACACUGUUUUUGUUUCUAAUGUUUUUUAUAUGGAAUUCUCAUGUUUACUUUUUUCUUUCUUACCAAGAAUAUUUUGAAGAGGAUGGAAUUAUUAGAAAAGCCAGCACAAGAGAGAGAAGGUGACAAAAGAGAAACAUCAAGGAAUAGGUGAGAGAUUAAGGGCCUGUUUGAAAUAGUUUUUGUUUUCAGUUUUUGAAAUAUACAAGUCCUCUUCUCACAAUAGUUAUCCUUUUACAUGUUUUAGUUUUAGUCCCCAAAACAAAAAAAUUCAAAACAGUUUUGAAAACUGUAAUUUUAAAAAAUAGUUUAGCAAAAAAGUUUUUAAUUUUCAAGUUUUUAAAAAACUGAAAAAGAGUUUUUGAGAAGUGUUUCAAACAGGCUCUUAAGUAACAUAUGCAAAAUAUUCUUUUACAUGAUAUAACAAAUAGGAUUCUUACCACUUACAUUUACUUAUGCAGCUGGAUUGCCCUUCGCCAGCAUUUCUGCUGCUUUUGGUUGGAUUUGGAGACCUACAUUGAGGACAAUAACAUUUGGAGAAUAGUCAAUGACUAUAAAUAUAGAAACAAAAGAAGAUUUGAAACAAAAACAGUGUAUAAAAAUCAUCAGUGACUAUAAACAUUAGAAGAUUUGACCAAAUCUCAGUCACUAAUCAUUUUCACACUAUUAUAUAUGUACAGAUUUGUGAUAGUGAUUACAAGUGGGUGAUGAGGGUUUACAUAGGGGAAUGUAGAAUUUUAGUAAGGCUGUAUGCAANNNNNNNNNNNNNNNNNNNNNNNNNNNNNNNNNNNNNNNNNNNNNNNNNNNNNNNNNNNNNNNNNNNNNNNNNNNNNNNNNNNNNNNNNNNNNNNNNNNNUGUUUUUCUUUAGUCUCUUUAGUAUCCUUUUCUUUCUUCUUUGGACAUUCAUUAGCAUAAUGUCCCUCUACAUUACAUAUCCAGCAUACACAUUUCUUUUUUCCUUUUGGGCAAUAUUUUCUAGGUGUUUGUCUCUUUUUCCUAAAAUACUUUUUCUUAGUAUUUUUAUUGGCUCUUUUCUUUGGAUAGGUUUUUCUUAACCUUGGUUUUCUUCUAGGAUUUUUCCUACUUCUUUUACUACAACCAUAAUUUCCGGGUAAGUCUAAGUCUAAUUUGUUACAACAAAGUGAAGUACUUCCUAGAUUUAAGUUUUUAAUUUUUUCCCUUUCUAGACACUGAUUUCUUAUUUCUUCAUAUAAAAUUUGUAUUACUCCUGCUAAGGUAUCACCUAAUUCUUCUGGUCGAGAUUUCCAUUUUUCUCUUAUACUUGUACUAAGUGGAUAAGGUAAUUUAGAUAUAAAUAUAUUUGUAUAUAUUAAUUGAGUUUUCCUAUCUAAAUCAUAAUAAUAUUUUUUAAAUUCACAAAUAAAGCUAUCUAUCUCGCACAUAUUGCAUAUUUGCAUAUUAUUUAAAUGAGCUUCUGCUCUUUCUCUUAAGCGUUUAUUUACUUUUGCUUUAUGUUCAAGGAUAUUAAACCCUAUAAAUUCCUUAUAUAUUAAUCCUAUUAUUAAUUUGGCAAAUUGUUGAUUAUUUUCAGUAAUUCUAGCAUAUUGUUGCCAAGUUUCAUCCUCAAUACUUGUUAAAAAUUUUAGCACAUUCCCUGUUGUUCAAUAAGCUAUUAAAUUCUUAACACCCAUUAGAUUUACCUUACUAAAUCUCUCAUCGGUUGCUAGAAGCAUAAUCAUAUUAUUAGACCAUCUUUCUAAUAUUUCUUCUGGAUUUCUUACGCAAUCAAGGUUUAGUAAUUUUUUAGAUUUUCCUUCUUCAUAAUGGGGUUUAAAUUCAUCCGAAAUCUUUGUCCAUUUUCCGUUAGCUCUAGUAUAUCCUCUACGAUUCAUUGUUUCAUUUUCAUAGUUUUCCCAAGAACUAAGUGGGUUCCAAUUAUCUUCUCUUUUUCUUUUUGAUUUUGAAUUACUUGUCUCUCCUCUCUCCAUAAAUAUUUCAUCAAAAUCAGAAUCAGAUCCUAUAUUAGAUCCUAUUUCGGAUUCUAAAUCUGAGGAAUUAUAAUUUAAUAUUACUUCUUCAUUUUCUUCUUUAGUUUUUAUUUUUUCUACUUUUUCUAAACUUAUUGGUUUAUUUUCUUGUUCGACUAUUUUUAAUUGUUCCAUUAAUUGUUUAAUUUCUUCCAUAUCAUUGGAUCUCCUAAUUGAUUCCAUAUAUUCAGUUUUUAUCCCCUCCAUGAAGAUAUUGGGUUUAUUAACAUAGAUGGUAUUAAUGGUUCUUGUUUAACUAUUUUAUCUAAUUGUUUUACUUCUCUUGUUUUAUUUAAUAAUUCUUCUAUAUCUUUUAUUGUUAUACUUCUAUUAUUUUCUUCAUAAUCUAAAUGAUUUUCUAGUUGCUGAAGAGCUUCUCUAAUUUUAAAAAUGUUUUCAUCUUCAUUAAUUCCUUUUAUAUUGUCUAAAGUUUCGUAUAUACUAUUUAUUUCACUACGUUCAAUUUUAAUUUUAUUAAAUGUGUGAUCUAGAAUUUUAUUAGUUUUUUCUAUUAAUAAAAUGAUAUUAUUAUUUAUUUCAAUCAUGGUAUUGUUUAUUUCUUUAUACAUUAAUUCUAUUUCUUUGGAUAAAGUCAUUAUUUAAAAAAGGUCGUCGCUAAUUGGUUAUUUUCUAGUAGUGACUUAACUCCCCUUUUAUUUUACUUAACUCCCACUUAAUUCACUUAAUUAUUAAUUAACCCCCAAAACUCCAAUAAUUACUAAUUCUCACUUAUACUAUUAAAUAAUACAAAUAGUCAUUUAAUAAAAUACACCACACCAUAAAAUCAACAUAAAUCAUUUAAAAUCACAUAAAUCAUCAAAGUGGACUCUAAACUCUAUAAAAUAAUUAAAUAAUUAAAGAGGGCGUUACAAAUGAUAUUGUCGAGUGAUUGUGAUAAUAUCGUUUAAAAAGCUAGAAACUGUUAAUUGAUCGAGAGAUUGCAGCUGUUACGCUUGAUUGAUAUCUCUAACCCCAAGCGAAAUGGUCAUAUCUCUUCUCUAUUUAUUUUAUGUCAAAUAGUUUAUAUAGUUUACACAAACAGACAUUUUAAAUCCAUACACUUAGAACAAUAUUGAUUGUUGAAUGGCUUGAAUAUCGCGCUAGUCCCUCUGGAGACGAUAUACACAAAAAUACUUACUUUUGAUUGAUAGAAAAAUACUACAUCAUAACCCUCCACGGCCAGCUUCUUAGAGGGAUUAUGGCCGCUUAGGCCACGGAAGUUUAAGGCAAUAACAGGUCUGUGAUGCCCUUCGAUGUUCUGGGCCGCACGCGCGCUACACUGAUGUAUUCAACGAGUCUAUAGCCUUGGCCGAUAGGCCCGGGUAAUCUUUGAAAUUUCAUCAUGAUGGUGAUAGAUCAUUGCAAUUGUUGAUCUUCAACGAGGAAUUCCUAGUAAGUGCGAGUCAUCAGCUCACGUUGACUACGUCCCUGCCCUUUGUACACACCGCCCAUCGCUCCUACCGAUUGAAUGGUCCGGUGAAGUGUUCGGAUUGCGGCGACGUGGGCGGUCCGCUGCCUGCGACGUUGUGAGAAGUCCACUGAACCUUAUCAUUUAGAGAAAGGAGAAAUCGUAACAAGGUUUUCGUAGGUGAACCUGUAGAAGGAUCAUUGUCGAUGCCUUACAUGCAGUCCAACACCUGAAUCAGUUUGAAUACAUAUGGGCUGGCUUGAGGUGUUCUGCACCUCGGCUUACCUCUGGUUUAGAAGAAUAUGACGAAGUGCGACCUCCUUUGUGCCAAAACUCAAACCCCAGCGCUGAAUUCAUCAAGGAAUUUAAAAGUUUGCUCUGAGCACACCUGCAUGACACCGGAGACGGUUUUCGUGUGUGUUGUGUUUUGACACAUUAUAUAGAAUGACUCUCGGAAACAGAUAUCUAGGCUCUUGCAUCGAUGAAGAAAGUAGCGAAAUGCGAUACUUGGUGUGACUUGCAGAAUCCCAAGAACCAUCGAGUCUUUGAACGCAAGUUGCGCCCAAUGCCAUUAGGUUGGGGGCACGUCUGCCUGGGUGUCCCAUAUCGAAUCCCCUUGCCAAUUUCCUAUUGAAUAGAUAUUUCCUGCAGGGUGAAUAUGUUGGCCUCCCGUGAGCUCUGUCUCGUGGUUGGUUGAAAAUUGAGACCUUGGUAGGGUGUGCCAUGAUAGAUGGUGGAUGUGUGACCCACGAGACCACAUGUGUUUUGUAACGCUUGUGAUGAGACCUCAGGUCAGGCGGGGCUACCCGCUGAAUUUAAGCAUAUCAAUAAGCGGAGGAAAAGAAACUAACAAGGAUUCCCUUAGUAACGGCGAGCGAACCGGGAUAAGCCCACCAUGAGAAUCGGUCGCCCUCGGCGUUCGAAUUGUAGUUUGGAGAAGCGUCCUCAGCGACAAAUUGGGCCCAAGUCCCUUGGAAAGGGGCGCCAAAGAGGGUGAGAGCCUCGUUGUGCUCGUUCCUAGUCGCACCACGAGGCGCUGUCGACGAGUCAGGUUGUUUGGGAAUUCAGCCCCAAUCGGGCGGUAAAUUCCGUCCAAGGCUAAAUAUUGGUGAUAGACAGAUAGCGAACAAGUACCGCAGACAUCAUCAUCAAGAUUGUGGGCUACAGCGCGUGCUGAUUCGGUGUGCUUCGGCACAUGCACGCUCCUAGCGUCGGCCUGUGGGCUCCCCAUUCGAAACUUCUUGAAACACGUUAGGCGCAAGGAAGCUGAUUGGUGGGAUCCUCUUGUGGGUUGCACCGCCGACCGACCCCGAUCUUUUGUGAAGGGUUCGAAUGAGAGCAUACCUGUCGAGACUCGAAAGAUGGUGAACUAUGCCUGAGCGAGGCGAAGCCAGAGGAAACUCUGGUGGAGGCCCGCAGCGAUACUGACUUGCAAAUUGUUCGUCUGACUUGAGAGGUGUGGGAUAAGUGGGAGCUGGAAACAGCGAAAGUGAAAUACCACUACUUUUAACGUUAUUUUGCUUAUUCUGUGAAUCGGAGACGGGGCGCUGCCCCUCUUUUUAAAUCCAAGGCCGACUUUGGUUGGUCGAUCCGGGCGGAAGACAUUGUUAGGUUGGGAGUUUGGCUGGGGCGGCACAUCUGUUAAAAGAUAACGCAAGUGUCCCAAGAUGAGCUCAACGAGAACAGAAAUCUCGUGUGGAACAAAAGGUCUUUUGAUUCUGAUUUCCAGUACAAAUAUGAACCGUGAAAGCGUGGUCUAUCGAUCCUUUAGCCCUUCGAUAUUUGAAGCUAGAGGUGUCAGAAAAAAUAUCACAGGGAUAACUGGCUUGUGGCAGCCAAGCGUUCAUAGUGACGUUGCUUUUGGAUCCUUCGAUGUCGGCUCUUCCUAUCAUUGUGAAGCAGAAUUCACCAAGUGUUGGAUUGUUCACCCACCAAUAGGGAACGUGAGCUGGGUUUAGACCGUCGUGAGACAGGUUAGUUUUACCCUAAUGAUGAUAGUGUCGCAAUAGUAAUUCAACCUAGUACGAGAGGAACCGUUGAUUCGCACAAUUUGUCAUCGCGCUUGGUUGAAAAGCCAGUGGCACGAAUCUACCGUGCGUUGGAUUAUGAAUGAACGUCUCUAAGUCAGAAUCCGGGCAGAAGCGAUGUGUGUUCCUGUCGUUCACAUGUCGACCAGCAGUAGGGGGCCUUGGCCCCCCCAGAGGCACGUGCCGUUGGUGGACCUCGUAAGGCGGAUGAACCUUACGGGACACUUUGAAACGCAAUUCCUAUUGAGCGGCGGGUAGAAUCCUUUGCAGACGACUUAAAUACGCGACGAGGUAUUGUAAGUGGCAGAGUGGCCUUGCUGCCACGAUCCACUGAGAUUUAGCCCUUGUCGCUUCGAUUCGUCCCUCCCAACCCACAUGUAGCCUGCCACCCACGCGUGCCUAAGGGUUUAGAAGUCAUGAACGCCAAGGCAUAUGCUAUGCCCUGGCGAGGAAGGACCUCGCUAUCAAAACGCCAAGGGGGUUAGACUUGCAUUACUUGUCAUGUUUCUCGACUCACUUCUAUUCGAUUGGCCUUGUGAAAAUGGAAGAACGUGGGUUGAGUUUUGUGGGGAAGUCGCAGCGUGGUGCCUUUGCCCACCAAGUGUUGUGCAUGGACGACACCUCUAUUGCUUAUACACUCAAUGUGUUGUGUUGCUAGCCUCUUAAAAGGAUGCGCUCAAAACUCAGACGUCCACCUACGUUCUUGCGAUUUUGCACUCUUUGGUCGAAAAACCAGCUCAAAGAGAUGCCUCCAAAAAACCAGCUCAACAUUCGAUUUCUAGGUCGAUGUUUUGAUGUCACGCUUUCUUGACUUUUUGGCGCUUAAAAUAUUCGCACUUAACGAAUCCCGCGAGCAAAAACGCCAAAAUUUCUCGGUGGAGGUCCUUAUGAUGUCCCAAACAUGCCUGAAUUUUGAGGAACAANNNNNNNNNNNNNNNNNNNNNNNNNNNNNNNNNNNNNNNNNNNNNNNNNNNNNNNNNNNNNNNNNNNNNNNNNNNNNNNNNNNNNNNNNNNNNNNNNNNNUUUAAUAAAUUGGAUUUUGAUGGAUUUUGGUAGUGGGAUUUUAAUAAGAAAAAGUCUUUCAUGAAAAGAUGAGAUUUCUUGAGAUUGUUUUUCUUUUAAAAGUUACUAUCUCUUUCUUCUCAUUUCUCUCUCUCUCUCUCUCUCUCUCUCUCUCUCUCUCUCUCUCUCUCUCUCUCUCUCUCUCCCUCCCCCUCCGUAUUCUCUCCUUUCUCUCUUCGUUUCUCUAUCUCUCCAUUCUCUCUCUCUCAUCUCUCAUCCGCCCUCUCUCCCUAUCUCAUAAAAAAAUAAAAAAUUGUAUUGAGAAUAUUAUGAUAGAGAGUAUGACGUAAUCAAUGUUUCGUAAAUCGAGUGUUAACUCUGAGGUAAACUCGGUUUCUGGUAAAAUCGAAAGGUUUAACGAGUUUGACUGAGUUAACACUUGGUAAACUCGGGUAAACUCAACCGAUUUGUAAUGGCUGACACAAUAUAUUUUUUUUGAAAGAUUUGUAAGUGUUGAUUUUAAAUAUGUACAAUUGAAUUUUGUGGGAAUAACAUUUUUAACAAAUAAAAAAUGUGUAUUGAGAAUAAUGUGUUAGAGUGUUUUUUAGUCCCUUAAAAUCUUAUAAAAUCCAUAAAAUUCUUAAAAUUUGAAAAUCAAUAGUAAAAUAUUUUUUUAUUGGUUUUAUUUUUCUUUAUUCAGACGCUAGAAUUUAUUUGUUCAUUAUUUCUAUCAUUCACGCUUGUAAGUAUGUUCUUUUUCCCCUAAAAUUCAUUUAAUUCUUUGAAAUUUUAAAAUAACAUAAAAUCCUUUGAAAUUUUUAAAAGUCAGUGUGAUAAAUCCUUUAAAAUCUUGAGUGUAUAAAGUCUUUUACAUAAAAAGUCUUUUAAAAUCUCACAGAAUCAAUACAAUCUCACACGGUCUUUAAAAAUCUUAUAAGACUUUUUUUAUUAAAAUAGUCUUUUAAAAUCCUAAUUCAAUACUCCCCCUAAAUAUAAUUGUUCUUCACUUGGACGUAUUAUACCUGUGCAGUUAAGAAAUCAAAUGUGAAAAGAACAUUAAAAUUGACUGCUAGUUAAGAACAUAAUAUAGUUAAUGUGUAGUGUACUUUAAUUAAAUGGACGGUGGUGCUAAAACUUCAAAAGAAACACAUGCUUAAUAAAAGAUUGGCCGGUUCUCCAAUUUUUUUACCCAAAAUGAAUUCAUCACAUAGUUUUUAUCUUUGGCUUGGAUUUUAUCGAAAUAAACUGCUGACUUUGAUAAAAGAAAAUGUGGUUAUUAAAAGCCUAGUUGUCAUGGAAAUGUUUGAAUAGCACCUAUAAAUUAAGUUGCUAUUGUAAAGCUAGAAAUAUAUUUGAAGACCUCUCUCUUUUCAGGAAAGCGUCCAAGGUAAGGGCACUUCCCCAUACUUGCUAAUGUAAACUAUUUCGAAGUUACUUUAUUAUUAUAAAGUACACAUAAAAGUUUAUAAUUUAUAAUAAAAAUAAGGAGUUUUAUAGAAUUGAUAUAUAAGUAAUAGAGUUUUAUCUCUAAAAAAGAUAAGCUGCAUAAAUUGAACUGUUCAUUAAAAUAAAUAGUUUUCAACGGCAUGUAUGAUCGAUUCAUUUAGCAAUCACAUUGCAUUUUUUGCUUAAGAUGCAUGUAUGAUGAAGUUGCUAGCUUUUCCUUAUUCUAGUUUUGCAUGAGAAAUCUCCAAGAAUAAUUCCAUAUUCGUAGUCUUUGUAUUGGCAGCAAAAGAAAGAAUUAAAAGAACAACUUUUAAAAAUAUAUCCUUUUACUCGUCUGGUUACAACAUAGAGAGAGUAAACUAAAAAAAUAUACUCCUAAUUGCCAAAUCCACCAACCAAAACUUAGAAUUAAAAACCACCGUGUUUCUCUUGGAGAAGGUACAAUAUAUACUAUGAAAUCCAUAGAUUACUAAACUAAUUCUUUUAUUGCAAUGAAUUAUGUACGUUAGAAAUUCACAGAGUCUAGCAAUGAAUUAUGUACUUUAUAAAGGAGUGAUUUAAAGUAUAUAGAUUAUGAAUGAUUAAAAUAUGAAGCAAUGGUUUGAGGGAGAGACACAUAAGCAAAGUAGGAGAAUGCUUAAGAUUAAAAAUAGGGUAUUGGUGAGCUGACACAUAAGCAAAUUGCACCUUAGAAUACAUGUAGAUAGAGAUAGAGAUAGAGAUUGCCUGAAUGGCUUACCCAUUAUUGUCAUAAGUUUUUUUCCAUUUCCUACCAUUUAUGCAUAAUUUUGUUGUCUCUUAUUUUUCCUAUCAAAACUCUUUUUUUUUUUUCCAUUUUUUUUUUUUUUGCAAUUCAGCCAACUAGUACUAAUUGUUUUCUGAAACAACAGUUGAGAAAAUGGCACAAAAUGCAAGAAUGGCUGCGGAAGCUUAUCGCACUGCAAAUCCACAUUUUAUAUCAAAAGUCACUAGGGGAAAUAAUGCGGUGAUGGUUUUAUUUUGUUGUUUUUAUUUAAAUCAAAUAUUAAAUUAUUUAUGUUGCCUAAUUGAUCUCUGGUCUAUUUUGUAGNNNNNNNNNNNNNNNNNNNNNNNNNNNNNNNNNNNNNNNNNNNNNNNNNNNNNNNNNNNNNNNNNNNNNNNNNNNNNNNNNNNNNNNNNNNNNNNNNNNNGGUCGACUCUCAGAGGAUCCCCCUUAGAAUUAAAAACCACCGUGUUUCUCUUGGGAGAAGGUACAAUAUAUACUAUGAAAUCCAUAGAUUACUAAACUAAUUCUUUUAUUGCAAUGAAUUAUGUACGUUAGAAAUUCACAGAGUCUAGCAAUGAAUUAUGUACUUUAUAAAGGAGUGAUUUAAAGUAUAUAGAUUAUGAAUGAUUAAAAUAUGAAGCAAUGGUUUGAGGGAGAGACACAUAAGCAAAGUAGGAGAAUGCUUAAGAUUAAAAAUAGGGUAUUGGUGAGCUGACACAUAAGCAAAUUGCACCUUAGAAUACAUGUAGAUAGAGAUAGAGAUAGAGAUUGCCUGAAUGGCUUACCCAUUAUUGUCAUAAGUUUUUUUCCAUUUCCUACCAUUUAUGCAUAAUUUUGUUGUCUCUUAUUUUUCCUAUCAAAACUCUUUUUUUUUUUUUUCCAUUUUUUUUUUUUUUGCAAUUCAGCCAACUAGUACUAAUUGUUUUCUGAAACAACAGUUGAGAAAAUGGCACAAAAUGCAAGAAUGGCUGCGGAAGCUUAUCGCACUGCAAAUCCACAUUUUAUAUCAAAAGUCACUAGGGGAAAUAAUGCGGUGAUGGUUUUAUUUUGUUGUUUUUAUUUAAAUCAAAUAUUAAAUUAUUUAUGUUGCCUAAUUGAUCUCUGG
Molecule: long non-coding RNA, 11330 nt
Filed under: Medicago truncatula (barrel medic)
Lineage: Eukaryota; Viridiplantae; Streptophyta; Magnoliopsida; Fabales; Fabaceae
Description: long non-coding RNA (MTRU_LNC007273)
Rfam family: Eukaryotic large subunit ribosomal RNA (bases 5788-7393)
Source: RNAcentral